GACGAACGCUGGCGGCGCGCCUAACACAUGCAAGUCGAACGAGCGAGCGAGAGCUUGCUUUCUUGAGCGAGUGGCGAACGGGUGAGUAACGCGUGAGGAACCUGCCUCAAAGAGGGGGACAACAGUUGGAAACGACUGCUAAUACCGCAUAAGCCCACGGUGCCGCAUGGCACAGAGGGAAAAGGAGCAAUCCGCUUUGAGAUGGCCUCGCGUCCGAUUAGCUAGUUGGUGAGGUAACGGCCCACCAAGGCGACGAUCGGUAGCCGGACUGAGAGGUUGAACGGCCACAUUGGGACUGAGACACGGCCCAGACUCCGACGGGAGGCAGCAGUGGGGAAUAUUGCACAAUGGGGGAAACCCUGAUGCAGCGACGCCGCGUGGAGGAAGAAGGUCUUCGGAUUGUAAACUCCUGUUGUUGGGGAAGAUAAUGACGGUACCCAACAAGGAAGUGACGGCUAACUACGUG
RNAcentral lists this ribosomal RNA (466 nucleotides) under uncultured bacterium. RNAcentral describes it as "partial 16S ribosomal RNA". It matches the Rfam family "Bacterial small subunit ribosomal RNA", at positions 28 to 507 of the family's 1533-position model. The record is from RNAcentral.